CUCAGGCUGCCUCUCUGCAACCCCCUCGCUCCCAGGCUCGCCUUCCCGCGCCCACGCUGUACACCCAACGGAGGCAUCUUCCCCAAGCCCAGCUCGGAGAGGAUUAGUUUAGCACCUACUGUGUACCAGGCCCCCUCGUAGGAGUCAGUUAGCGUCGGGAAGGGCUGGAUACUCCAAGGGCUCGCUCAUUAAAGGUUCGCAACCUCUCCUUUCUCAUCCCCAUUUUACAUAGGAGGAGACUGAGGAGCAGAGAAGUAACAGCGGGUAGUAUUUCAAGGGAUGACUAAGAGAAGAUGUCAGCGGACUUGAAGAGCUGUCAGCUCCAUUAGGGGAGAUGAGCGAAGGCUGACUCUCUGCCAGAAGACACACACGAGGCUCAGGACAUAUCAGGAACUUGCCUGUGGUCACAAUUAUAGAUCCUACAAGUGAAGAUUUGAGCCCACACAGGCCAGCACCGGAGCUGCCUGGGCCAGGGGCAGUCAUCAAUUUUGAAUUUUUUUCGGCUGAGCACUUAGACAGCACCUGUCAGCAUUCAAGAAUUCACAACCAUCGAGCACUGACAGUGUGCCAGGCUGUGUGCCGUGUGCUGGGCAUUCGUCACGUCGAAUCUCACUAAGUCCAGCUGUCAUCAUUUGAAAUUAGCUCUGGCAGCGCUGGUGGUGUCUGAUGGGAGUCCUUAGUGCCCACCCCCCAUCAUCCAUCAAUCCCCUGAAAGCCACCCCAAAUAAAUAUAUACUUUGUUAAUGUAGCUUCAAGAAAAAUCUCCUAACCCCUUUCCAGUUGCCACCCCAGAAUUAGUAUUAUCCUCAGCUUACAGAUGAGAAAACUGAGGCACGGACAAGGCAAGUAUUCAAGGUCAUACAACAGUAAAUGGUAAGCCUGGGAUUCAGACAUGGGCAGUAUCUUCGUGAGCACUGCUCUACACAACCUCCAGCCCAGGGAGCUGCACGUGGCCCUGACAGCAUCGGGGGCUGGGCCCCACCCUUCCCUGGAAGCAAGACCACAAGAUCUCGGAGGCCCUUUCCAGCUGUGACGCCAUGAGGCUUUUCUACAGCAGGCACCAAAUGACAAUAGUCUCCAGAUGUGCACUAGGAGAGAAUGUAGUGCACUUGACACAGAAAGUCCACCAGAAGGGCAAGUUGGACAUGUUAUUUAAAUUUUAAGUCUGUGACCACUUUGACAUAGUGAUUCCACUUCUAGAAAGAUAGGUUGUAAAAUUGCUCACACAGGUACACAGAUAUUAUGUACAAGGAUGUUCAUUCCAUCAUUGUUCUUAAUAGCAAAAAUUGGAGAUACUCCAAUUGUCUAUCAUUAGAGGAUCGGAUGAAUAAAUUAUGGCUCUUUGAUACAGGGGAGUACCAUGGGGCUAGUUGUUAAAGACUGAGAUAGUGUUGACGUGGCCAUCCAUCUCAAAAUAUGGUGAAGUGAAAAGCUGUUGGAGAAAUGGUGUGCAUUGUAGUAGCUCAUCCUUGUUUUAAGAGUGUGUGUGUUAGCAAUAUUCACAGUUAGUGUUUACAUGGAGAAGGUCAGGGGCACAUACACCUAACCGUUCAUUGCAGUUAACCCUGGGAGGUGAAAGAAUGGGGACUCACACUUAAGCUAGAGAUUUAUAUCAUGUUUAAAAUUUUUAAUAAAAGCUUUUGUUUUCUUACUAAUAUAGAGAAAAUCAUAUAAUGAAGGUGGAUGUAUCCAUUACCCAGCUUCCAUAUCAACUCAGGACAAGUCUUGUUUCAACCAUACUCCCUCAUCUACUGUGUGUGUCUGUAAAAGAUAAGAACUAUUUUCAAAAAGUAGCCACAAUACCAUUAUCAUACCUAAAAAAACAAUAAUUCUUUAAUAUCAUUAAAUGCCCAGUGAGUGAUUUCCAGUUAUCUCCUAAAAACAGAAAUUAUUUUUGUAAUAAGAAAAAAAAGGCUGAAAAAGAUAAAAUUGUCAAUCCAAAGAGCAGAUUAGUACAAGUUUCCUGGAGCUUUGUUUAGUGAUACUUAUCAAGAGCCUUAACAAUGUGCUUACCUUUUGCCCUAGUAAUCCCAACCUGUGAAUUUAUUCUAAGAAGAAAAAAGAACAUUGAAGAGGUAUACAAACAUUGUUCACUAGAGUGUGCAGUGUCUGUUACAGAGAAGUUGUUUGAAAACUAUUUGUUGAGGCCAGAUGUGGUGGCUUACAUCUGUAAUACUAGUACUUUGGGAGACUGAGGCAGGAGGAUUGC
Molecule: long non-coding RNA, 2209 nt
Filed under: Homo sapiens (human)
Lineage: Eukaryota; Metazoa; Chordata; Mammalia; Primates; Hominidae
Description: HSALNT0388843
Source: RNAcentral